AGAGUUUGAUCCUGGCUCAGAGUGAACGCUGGCGGCGUGCUUAACACAUGCAAGUCGAACGAGAACGGGUUAUAGCUUGCUAUAAUUGUCAGCUAAGUGGCGCACGGGUGAGUAAUGUAUAGGUAAUAUGCCUCUUACUAAGGGAUAACAAAUGGAAACGUUUGCUAAUACCUUAUACUCCUUAUUAACUAAAGUUAGUAAGGGAAAGAUUUAUUGGUAAGAGAUUAGCCUGUAUUGUAUCAGUUAGUUGGUGGGGUAAUGGCCUACCAAGACUAUGACGCAUAACUGGUUUGAGAGGAUGAUCAGUCACACUGGAACUGAGACACGGUCCAGACUCCUACGGGAGGCAGCAGUGGGGAAUAUUGCACAAUGGACGAAAGUCUGAUGCAGCAACGCCGCGUGGAGGAUGACACAUUUCGGUGCGUAAACUCCUUUUAUAUAAGAAGAUAAUGACGGUAUUAUAUGAAUAAGCACCGGCUAACUCCGUGCCAGCAGCCGCGGUAAUACGGGGGGUGCAAGCGUUACUCGGAAUCACUGGGCGUAAAGAGCAUGUAGGCGGAUUGAUAAGUUUGAAGUGAAAUCCUAUAGCUUAACUAUAGAACUGCUUUGAAAACUGUUAAUCUAGAAUGUGGGAGAGGUAGAUGGAAUUUCUGGGUGUAGGGGUAAAAUCCGUAGAGAUCAGAAGGAAUACCGAUUGCGAAGGCGAUCUACUGGAACAUUAUUGACGCUGAGAUGCGAAAGCGUGGGGAGCAAACAGGAUUAGAUACCCUGGUAGUCCACGCCCUAAACGAUGUACACUAGUUGUUGUGAGGCUAGACCUUGCAGUAAUGCAGUUAACACAUUAAGUGUACCGCCUGGGGAGUACGGUCGCAAGAUUAAAACUCAAAGGAAUAGACGGGGACCCGCACAAGCGGUGGAGCAUGUGGUUUAAUUCGACGAUACACGAAGAACCUUACCUGGACUUGACAUAGUAAGAACUUUCUAGAGAUAGAUUGGUGUCUGCUUGCAGAAACUUAUAUACAGGUGCUGCACGGCUGUCGUCAGCUCGUGUCGUGAGAUGUUGGGUUAAGUCCCGCAACGAGCGCAACCCUCGUCCUUAGUUGCUAACAGUUCGGCUGAGAACUCUAAGGAGACUGCCUACGCAAGUAGAGGAAGGUGAGGACGACGUCAAGUCAUCAUGGCCCUUACGUCCAGGGCUACACACGUGCUACAAUGGGAUAUACAAUGAGCCGCAAUACGGUGACGUGGAGCAAAUCUUAUAAAAUAUCUCUCAGUUCGGAUUGUAGUCUGCAACUCGACUACAUGAAGUUGGAAUCGCUAGUAAUCGUAGAUCAGCUAUGCUACGGUGAAUACGUUCCCGGGUCUUGUACUCACCGCCCGUCACACCAUGGGAGUUGAACUCAUUCGAAGCGGGGAUGCUAAAGUAGCUACCUUCCACAGUGGAUUCAGCGACUGGGGUGAAGUCGUAACAAGGUAACCGUAAGUCGUAACAAGGUAACCGUACGUCGUAACAAGGUAAUCGUAGAGUUUGAUCCUGGCUCAGGAAAGUCGUAACAAGGUAACCGUAAGUCGUAACAAGGUAACCGUA
This 1588-nucleotide ribosomal RNA is filed under the name uncultured bacterium. Its description in RNAcentral is "bacterial SSU rRNA". It matches the Rfam family "Bacterial small subunit ribosomal RNA". The record is from RNAcentral.